AGUGAACGCUGGCGGUAGGCCUAACACAUGCAAGUCGAACGGCAGCACAGUAAGAGCUUGCUCUUAUGGGUGGCGAGUGGCGGACGGGUGAGGAAUACAUCGGAAUCUACCUUUUCGUGGGGGAUAACGUAGGGAAACUUACGCUAAUACCGCAUACGACCUUCGGGUGAAAGCAGGGGACCUUCGGGCCUUGCGCGGAUAGAUGAGCCGAUGUCGGAUUAGCUAGUUGGCGGGGUAAAGGCCCACCAAGGCGACGAUCCGUAGCUGGUCUGAGAGGAUGAUCAGCCACACUGGAACUGAGACACGGUCCAGACUCCUACGGGAGGCAGCAGUGGGGAAUAUUGGACAAAGGGCGCAAGCCUGAUCCAGCCAUACCGCGUGGGUGAAGAAGGCCUUCGGGUUGUAAAGCCCUUUUGUUGGGAAAGAAAAGCAGUCGGCUAAUACCCGGUUGUUCUGACGGUACCCAAAGAAUAAGCACCGGCUAACUUCGUG
RNAcentral lists this ribosomal RNA (492 nucleotides) under uncultured bacterium. RNAcentral describes it as "partial 16S ribosomal RNA". It matches the Rfam family "Bacterial small subunit ribosomal RNA", at positions 29 to 507 of the family's 1533-position model. The record is from RNAcentral.